RNA transcript from Cebus imitator (Panamanian white-faced capuchin), 610 nucleotides. It is a transcript of the gene named X antigen family member 2-like, with no coding region annotated. NCBI's taxonomy places the organism in Eukaryota, Metazoa, Chordata, Mammalia, Primates, Cebidae. The record is from RefSeq and is a predicted model, not a curated record. The transcript is spliced from 3 exons.
UUGGUUUGAUUUGAUUUUUUUGAGACGUAGUUUUGCUCUUAUUGCCCAGGCUGGAAUGCAAUGGCACAAGCUUGGCUGCCUGCAACCCUCGCCUCCAGAGUUCCAGUGAUUCUCCUGCCUCUGCCUCCCUACUUGCUGGGAUUACAGGCACCUGCCCGCAAGCCUGGCUAAGUUUUUGUAUUUUUAGUAGAGGCCAGGUUUCACCAUGUUGGCCAGGCUGGCCUUGAACUCCUGACCUCAGGUCAUCCACCCAGUUCUGCCUCCUAAAGUGCACACUGUUCUAUUUGCAGAGGGAAAUAUGAGUGGGCGAGAAAGAAAACAUAGACCAAUACGACAUGUGCGACUUGUUCAGCUGACCAGGCCUGCUUGCCUGAACUGAAAGCUGAUCUCCAGAAGCUGUCUCAGUCAAAGACUGGGGGUGAAUGCGGAGAUGGUCGUGAUGUACAGGGGAAGAGUGUGCCAAAAUCAGAGGAAUUUAAAAUGCCGGAAGGAGCAGAAGAGAAACCACAGGUUUAAACGAAGACGAGCUGAAAGAAUGCAAACUGCAUUUAUCUGAGAUAUUUGACUUUUAAAAAUCUCAAUAAAGUUUUCCAGUUUUCUCCAAAGAAGU